GAAGAGGUAGAAUAAUGAAGUUCUCUAUAUUUACACUGUAGUAAGUCAAGUUUGUUUACUUGUCUCUUUU
Molecule: transfer RNA, 70 nt
Filed under: Lithophaga curta
Lineage: Eukaryota; Metazoa; Mollusca; Bivalvia; Mytilida; Mytilidae
Description: tRNA-Val
Source: RNAcentral